Dreissena polymorpha is the source of this 589-nucleotide long non-coding RNA. RefSeq lists it as uncharacterized. The transcript is spliced from 3 exons. The record is from RefSeq and is a predicted model, not a curated record. NCBI's taxonomy places the organism in Eukaryota, Metazoa, Mollusca, Bivalvia, Myida, Dreissenidae.
CGAGACAAGCACCCUCAUCCACCCUCUCGCUGCGCGCGACAACAGAUCAGUCAAGAACCAACCAUGGAGCCCCCCAAAGCCCCACCCGGAGUCACCAUCGUUCUUUCCCACCCACCUGCCAAACAUCCAGACCAUGUAUCAAGCUGGGAUAUUUCAGGGGCGAAUUGUCUUGGGGUGAGAUUUCUUUGGGGCGAGUUGUCUGAUUCCCAUUCCGAAUGGACUUUGAAAGAAACGAACGACAACUUUGUAAGAAAACCCGCCAAUGGGGCUCGCGACCAAUCGGAUGGAUGCUAUGCCUGCUGGGAUAGCCAUGCUCUUUUUCGACGCGGACAGUGGACCCGACAUGACCGACUUAACGGACUCGACGUGACGGACUCGACCUAAUCAAUUUUCUUUAUUCUUAGACUUAAGUCUAAGAAUUGUUUGGUGAAUACGGGCCUAGCAGAUUCUUUUGUGCACGAGAUGCGGUCAAAAAGAAGAAAAGACGAAAGAACCAAUCCAGACUUGGUGGCAGAGGAAAGUAUAAAAAAGAAUGCAGAUCUUGGUGGAUUUUGUGUGGAUACAAUUCCACCUAAAGGUAUUUCUUGUU